Daphnia magna is the source of this 577-nucleotide long non-coding RNA. RefSeq lists it as uncharacterized. The record is from RefSeq and is a predicted model, not a curated record. The transcript has 2 exons. NCBI's taxonomy places the organism in Eukaryota, Metazoa, Arthropoda, Branchiopoda, Diplostraca, Daphniidae.
UAUAGAUCGUUUCGUUACUAAAAGGUUUCAAAGAUAGUGUGUUAACUUAUACUGGAGAAAAGAACAGACAGAAAAAUCACGAGGCUGUGUUAAGAAAGAAAGUUAUCUUCACUAUCCAUUUAAUUUGCCACGAAACGCAGUUUACUACUUACGGGAAUUCGGUGUCUGAGCUUCUAGAACCGGCGAACAAAACAGAACCACGUGCAUCAGCAAGAAAAACAACGCCAUUCUCCUGUAAAUCAUACGAGUUAACAUGAAACACGAUAAAGAUGUUUUUGCGACAAGAUUUUGCUGUGGUGUAGACAAGGGAAGUGGCUACAACUGAUAGUUUUGGCGCACUACUGCAUAUAGCCGAAACACAAAGAAGACUGGGGGCUAAAAGUCAAACUCAUUUUGUCCGAAGCCACAACUCUAUUGAGAACUCCCCUUUGCCCUUUCUUCCCAUCGUACUUCUCGCCUCUACAUCUUGCCGUUAACGUCAUCACUUGUACAUAUGCCAGCCCUAAACUUUUCUACACGUGCGUCAAAGUGCAUGCUCUACCUACGAAAUAUUCCAUUUAAUGAAGAAAUCCAGAAA